Archocentrus centrarchus (flier cichlid) is the source of this 1347-nucleotide long non-coding RNA. RefSeq lists it as uncharacterized. The record is from RefSeq and is a predicted model, not a curated record. The transcript has 3 exons. Lineage: Eukaryota; Metazoa; Chordata; Actinopteri; Cichliformes; Cichlidae.
UCCACUGUCUGUACUCUGAGUCAUCCUCACCUGUGAUGAGGCCAACUAUGGCAGAGUCGUCAGAGAACUUCUGCAGAUGGCAGCGUGGGGAGUUGAUGGAUAUUACAUUAUUUUAAGUUAAGAGCAAUGAUGAAGUUCUUUUUCCAGUAGGUCACCUUUUGUUGCUGCAUCUCUAAACAUUGCAUGAGCUAUUACACAGCAUAACUGCUAAACCACAGCUAUAUAAUCUACUAUGGAGGCUCUUAAGCAUGCAUUUUAAUCCAAUUGAGCAAUACAAUAUAUUGACUUUUUUUAUAACACACUGUUUAUUUUAUUUGAUUACAGUUUAUCUCCCAGCACACUUGCACACAUCUGUUUUUAUGACAUGGUUACACUUUAUUACACUUUUAAAUCAUAAAUAAAAACUAAACACAUCUACUGUAGGAAACUGUUUCAUAACCACAUUAGCAGAGCUGUCUUACUAACAGUGGGUAUAUUCGGGACCACUGUUUGCCCCCAAAUGAGAUUUUGUGACCUUGCUGGCAGUUUGCUUAAGUUACAUAAUGUCCCCCGACAGGUGAAAAAACAAAUGACCAAUUACCAGUGUCUCCCUGGAGGGAGGACUACUCAGCCACUGCUAGAACUGUUCCCGGCGGACUAGACCAGUGCAGCAGCAGCACGCCAUGCCUCACCUGCUAUCCCAGCUGAGAUCACAGCAGGGUUGGGGUGAGUGAGCCGACGCCCAGUUCAGGUGGUAAUCCUGAAGUGAUGACAUGUCAGUCUGGCUUCACAGGUAAGCAAGCCUCACUGAAAAAAAAGGACAAAAAGAGCAACAACAACAACAACAACAACAACAACAACAACAACAACAACAACAACAACAACAACAAAAGGAAAUUGGAAAUUUCUUAUUUUACAAAACACCAAGCAAUGCUACACAAUGACACGCUUACUCAACCAGCUGUUCCGUUGCAGCACUGGUGUGCUGUGAGCACAAGAAUAACUCCUCCGGGCUUUAUACCUCCCUGAAAUGCAGAAGUGUACCAUGUGACAAUGAGGUGACAUCUAAAGACGUUUUUUCUCACAACGCCCAGUAGAUGUGAUGUGCAGCAGUGAGGCACUGAGGUAACUUUUCUGUGACCACAAACUUCCCUUAUCUGUGAGAACCAUCAAGAACUGUGGCGAAACGACCCCCCCCGCCAAAGGACCCAGCCUUAGGGUGGCUCUGCUUCCUGUGAAGAAAAUAUGAUGCGAUUCUACCUCCAGCAGCACUUUUUGAGCUGAGUGAUAAAAUGCAUCGAAAAAGAUCACAUGGAACCAACUCAGAGCUGCCACUAUGUGUGUUACAUAAUAAAGUUUGUAAAUGGA